UUGAAAUAAAUUGGCCGCAAACUCGUUAAACGAAUAAGUAAAUAGAUAAAAUGAGCACGAACGGUGAAGUUGAGUUUUUACCAAAACGCAAGCGCUACAACCCCCAAAAGCGUUGGGAAGUUGCCGAGGAAAAAGCGUUGAUUGAGUUCCUUCUAGAGAAUCGCGAUUUUGAGAAACUAUCGGGACGGCUAUUUUAUAAUCGCUUCGCGAAUGAGAAACAAAUCCUGGUCGAGUGGAAAUCAGCGCGCUCAAAAGUAAGAAAUAUGCGAUCUGCAUAUACAUAAUAGAGCGAAGGAAUUGGAAGGAAGUAUUGGAUGGCGAUACUAUAAAAGGCGUUUUGCUCAAAAAGUUUCGCUAUUUCUACGAAUUUGACGAUAUUUUCGGUGCCCGACUAAACGCUUGUGCUGUAUUUGAAGAAAUAAUGGAAAGUGCUGAUACUACCAUUGAAGUAUUAAGUCCUGUGCAAAUUAAAAUUCCUAUUGUAAAUGAAACAGUUACCACCCCAAGGCAAAGAGGAAUAUACUCCAAAACAGCGGCUUCCGAUAUUAUGCAAAUCCAUGGCGAAAUAAUGACAUUGCGAAAGCAAAAGUUAGUGGCAGAAUUGACUGCAAGGGAAAGAGAGUUCGAGCAAAAAGAAAAAGAGUUACAGUUAAAAGCUAAAGAAGUGAAGCUCAUAGAAAUUGAAAUAUUAGCGCUAAAAGACAUUGUUUAUGCGACUUCAUGGCAUCUCGCCCCUCCACACAACUAAGCAUUCAUCACACAACUCACACUCAUCACACAACAUAACAUUCAUCACACAACUCACACUCAUCACACAACACAACAUUCAGCACACAACCUACAUAUGUACAUCAUCAUACACGCAACCCCACGCAACAAAAACGACCUACAAAAUAAAUGUAAUGAAUGACCUACAAAAUAAAUGUAAUGAAUGCAUAAAUGGCCUACGCCAAUGGUUUUCUUCCAAAAGUUUGGAACUGGCCGAGCACAAAACAGAGGUAUUGCUCAUAAGCACCAGGAAAAUUGAGGAAAAAAUAACUCUCACCAUAGGAGAGUGAGUAAUUACUUCACAACCACAGUUGAAGUAUUUAGGGGUAAUAUUGGACGCCAAACUGAAAUUCAAGCAGCACUUGGCAAACAUAGCAAAUAAAGCAAACAAGA
Bactrocera neohumeralis is the source of this 1161-nucleotide long non-coding RNA. RefSeq lists it as uncharacterized. The record is from RefSeq and is a predicted model, not a curated record. Lineage: Eukaryota; Metazoa; Arthropoda; Insecta; Diptera; Tephritidae. The transcript is spliced from 4 exons.